AAUUCUCAACGAUGGAUAUCUUGGUUCCCAUAACGAUGAAGAACGCAGCGAAGUGCGAUAAGCAGUGCGAAUUGCAGAACCGUGAGUCAUCAGAUUUUUGAACGCAACUGGCGCCAGCUGGCUCUCCAGCUGGCAUGCUUGUUUCAGUGUCUCGUUAACUCCUCACCCAAACCUUAAUGCGAGAGAUGCCCUUCUCUUGCCAAGCACGAAAGCACUCUGCACUCUGCAGGCGAUCUCGGUUCUGCCGAGGGUCGCACUCAAUGCAGCAGUCACAUUGAUCACAGUGUGAACUCAUUGAGAGCAGAGGCAGCGCGGGCUUGCCUGCCAGUGCUUAGACACACAAACUUUCAUUGCAUCUGAAAUCAAGCAGGAUCACCCGCUGAACUUAAGCAUAUCACUAAGCGGAGGAAAAGAAAUUAACUAAGAUUGCCUCAGUAACGGCGAGUGAAGCGGCAAAAGCCCAAACUGGAAAUCUUCACGCUGCGCGUGACGAAUUGUAAUCUAAAGGUGGAUCGCUCACCGGGUGGCGGCGCAGAAGUUCCCACGAACGGGACGCCAGAGAGGGUGACAGCCCCGUAUGUGGCGCCGGCGCCUAACGAGCCUCUUCCUACGAGUCGGGUUGUUUUGAAUUGCAGCCCUAAGCGGGGGAUAGACUUCCUCUAAGGCUAAAUAUCUAUGGGAAACCGAUAGCGAACAAGUACUGUGAAGGAAAGAUGAAAAGAACUUUGAAAAGAGAGUCAAAAGACUUGAAAUCGUUGAGAAGGAA
This 766-nucleotide unclassified non-coding RNA is filed under the name uncultured soil eukaryote. RNAcentral describes it as "sequence contains 5.8S rRNA gene, ITS2, 28S rRNA gene". The stretch from base 353 to 766 matches the Rfam family "Eukaryotic large subunit ribosomal RNA", at positions 1 to 418 of the family's 3401-position model. The record is from RNAcentral.